CCAGCCUUUCCAAGCGCUCAAUCACUAAUGAGGAUCUGAUCUACAACCUGAAGGCUAGCUGUCUGACAAAGGAGCAGAGAAAACAAGAGCUGGGAUUACAGCACCAUGUCCCUCAGGAGGCUAAUGCUUUUGCAUGUGACAAUUUAUGCUUCGGGAAAUAAAACAAGUGUUUGGAGGAUUGGGCUGCCUCUGAGAACAAGAAUUCUGAUGGUGAGGA
Lacerta agilis (Sand lizard) is the source of this 217-nucleotide long non-coding RNA. RefSeq lists it as uncharacterized. The transcript is spliced from 3 exons. Lineage: Eukaryota; Metazoa; Chordata; Lepidosauria; Squamata; Lacertidae. The record is from RefSeq and is a predicted model, not a curated record.